CCUACGGGUGGCAGCAGUGAGGAAUAUUGGUCAAUGGGCGCGAGCCUGAACCAGCCAAGUAGCGUGAAGGAUGACUGCCCUACGAGUUUUAAACUUCUUUUAUAGAGGAAUAAAGUGACGCACGUGUGCCUUUUUGUAUGUACUUUAUGAAUAAGGAUCGGCUAAUUCCGUGCCAGCAGCCGCGGUAAUACGGAGGAUCCGAGCUUUAUCCGGAUUUUUUUGUUUUAAAGGAAACGUAUAUUGGUUGUUAAGUCAGUGUUGAAAGUUUCGGGCUCAACCGUAAAAUUGCAAUUGAUACUGGCAGUCUAGAGUACGGUAGAGGUAGGCGGAAUUCGUGGUGUAGCGGUGAAAUGCUUAGAUA
RNAcentral lists this ribosomal RNA (361 nucleotides) under uncultured bacterium. Its description in RNAcentral is "partial 16S ribosomal RNA". It matches the Rfam family "Bacterial small subunit ribosomal RNA", at positions 338 to 696 of the family's 1533-position model. The record is from RNAcentral.